UGGGGAAUAUUGCACAAUGGGCGCAAGCCUGAUGCAGCAACGCCGCGUGAACGAUGAAGGUCUUCGGAUCGUAAAGUUCUGUUGCAGGGGAAGAUAAUGACGGUACCCUGUGAGGAAGCCCCGGCUAACUACGUGCCAGCAGCCGCGGUAAUACGUAGGGGGCUAGCGUUAUCCGGAUUUACUGGGCGUAAAGGGUGCGUAGGUGGUCUUUCAAGUCGGUGGUUAAAGGCUACGGCUCAACCGUAGUUAGCCUCCGAAACUGGAAGACUUGAGUGCAGGAGAGGAAAGUGGAAUUCCCGGUGUAGCGGUGAAAUGCGUAGAUAUUGGGAGGAACACCAGUAGCGAAGGCGGCUUUCUGGACUGCAACUGACACUGAGGCACGAAAGCGUGGGUAGCAAACAGG
RNAcentral lists this ribosomal RNA (403 nucleotides) under Verrucomicrobiota bacterium. RNAcentral's name for it is "Verrucomicrobia bacterium partial 16S ribosomal RNA". It matches the Rfam family "Bacterial small subunit ribosomal RNA", at positions 355 to 776 of the family's 1533-position model. The record is from RNAcentral. Lineage: Bacteria; Pseudomonadati; Verrucomicrobiota.